Molecule: long non-coding RNA, 172 nt
Filed under: Chinchilla lanigera (long-tailed chinchilla)
Lineage: Eukaryota; Metazoa; Chordata; Mammalia; Rodentia; Chinchillidae
Description: lncRNA (ENSCLAG00000024285.1)
Source: RNAcentral
GUGAUGCUUAACAAAUUCCACCAAGGAAAAGUCAGUCAUUCUUACUACAUUCUAGGGCCCUUGGUAUCAGGAAGGUCUUGGAGAAGGAGAGCAGAACCCCAAGUCUGUGUGGCUCCUGACUGUUUGUUGGGCAGAGAAGCUUGAACUUUAUCCUGUGGGCUGCUGAGACCAG